AGAGUUUGAUCAUGGCUCAGGAUGAACGCUAGCGGCAGGCUUAACACAUGCAAGUCGAGGGGCAGCAUAGAGGUUAGCAAUAACUUCUGAUGGCGACCGGCGCAAGGGUGCGUAACGCGUGAGCAACUUGCCCUUAUCAGGGGGAUAACCAAUGGAAACGCUGACUAAUACCCCAUAGCAUAACUUUGAGGCAUCUCUUAGUUAUUAAAGAAUUUCGGAUAAGGAUAGGCUCGCGUGACAUUAGCUAGAUGGCGGGGUAACGGCCCACCAUGGCGACGAUGUCUAGGGGUUCUGAGAGGAAGGUCCCCCACACUGGAACUGAGACACGGUCCAGACUCCUACGGGAGGCAGCAGUGAGGAAUAUUGGUCAAUGGUCUGACGACUGAACCAGCCAUGCCGCGUGAAGGUCACGGCCCUAUGGGUCUUAAACUUCUUUUGUAAGGGAGCAAUAAGGCGCACGUGUGCGUCGAUGAGAGUACCUUACGAAUAAGCAUCGGCUAACUCCGUGCCAGCAGCCGCGGUAAUAC
RNAcentral lists this ribosomal RNA (527 nucleotides) under uncultured microorganism. RNAcentral describes it as "bacterial SSU rRNA". It matches the Rfam family "Bacterial small subunit ribosomal RNA", at positions 8 to 526 of the family's 1533-position model. The record is from RNAcentral.